Molecule: ribosomal RNA, 491 nt
Filed under: uncultured bacterium
Lineage: Bacteria
Description: partial 16S ribosomal RNA
Rfam family: Bacterial small subunit ribosomal RNA
Source: RNAcentral
GUGAACGCUGGCGGUAGGCCUAACACAUGCAAGUCGGACGGCAGCACAGUAAGAGCUUGCUCUUACGGGUGGAGAGUGGCGGACGGGUGAGGAAUACAUCGGAAUCUACUUUUUCGUGGGGGAUAACGUAGGGAAACUUACGCUAAUACCGCAUACGACCUACGGGUGAAAGCAGGGGAUCUUCGGACCUUGCGCGAUUGAAUGAGCCGAUGUCGGAUUAGCUAGUUGGCGGGGUAAAGGCCCACCAAGGCGACGAUCCGUAGCUGGACUGAGAGGAUGAUCGGCCACCCUGGAACUGGACCACGGUCCAGACUACUACGGGAGGGAGCAGUGGGGAAUAUUGGACAACGGGGGCAAGCCUGAUACAGUCAGAGCGCGUGGGUGGAGAAGGCCCUCGGGUUGUAAAGCCCUUUUGUUGGGAAAGAAAAGCAGCAGGUUAAUACCCCGCUGUUCUGACGGUACCCAAAGAAUAAGCAACGGCUAACUUCGUG